This 552-nucleotide long non-coding RNA is filed under the name Sinocyclocheilus grahami. RNAcentral describes it as "lncRNA (ENSSGRG00000050085.1)". The record is from RNAcentral. Lineage: Eukaryota; Metazoa; Chordata; Actinopteri; Cypriniformes; Cyprinidae.
AUGGCUGAAACAGGAUGUGACUGGAAGUAUGAGAUAGUCACAGCCUUCUCCAUCACUGCUGCCCGUGACGAUAGAGCCCCUCAGGUGAUUGUGACGUCUUCUGGCCGUGCAGUCAAAAGGAGAAUCCAGUUGUUAGACGAUGACCCAGCUCAGCAGACCUACAGUCACGAGGUUUACUUUGAUAGAGACACGAUUACUCACACUGUCCAGGAGAAAAAUACUCAUUCUGCUGCCAUGUUUAGAAAAUGAAGAGACCAGCUUCGGAUGAACCAUGAGCACAUUUCAUAGUUCUGUAUGUGAUGAUUAAUAAUGAGCUACAGUGCAUUUCUCCACAAAAAAACAUCAACAACCUUUUAUUAAAUUUUUCUAUUUGGAUUUUAGAGGACUCAAAAGACAUUUCUUUUUAAAUGCAUGAAUCAUGAGUCGUUUGGAUUGAAUAAUGCCGGCCCUGAACAAACAUUUAUCCGUUGAUGGAAUUGAACUUGAAACACUUUUCUGUUUAGUUAUUUUAUUUACUUGUAACUUUACUAAUAAAGACUAGUUUGUGACCAA